AUACGUAGGUGGCAAGCGUUGUCCGGAAUUAUUGGGCGUAAAGCGCGCGCAAGCGGUCCUUUAAGUCUGAUGUGAAAGCCCACGGCUCAACCGUGGAGGGUCAUUGGAAACUGGGGGACUUGAGUGCAGAAGAGGAAAGUGGAAUUCCAAGUGUAGCGGUGAAAUGCGUAGAGAUUUGGAGGAACACCAGUGGCGAAGGCGACUUUCUGGGCGGUAACGGACGCUGAGGCGCGAAAGCGUGGGGGGCAAACAGGGUUAGAUACCCUGGUAUUCCACGCCGUAAACGAUGAGUGCUAAGUGUUGGGGGGUUUCCGCCCCUCAGUGCUGCAGCUAACGCAUUAAGCACUCCGCCUGGGGAGUACGGUCGCAAGACUGAAACUCAAAUGAAUUGACGGGG
Molecule: ribosomal RNA, 397 nt
Filed under: uncultured bacterium
Lineage: Bacteria
Description: partial 16S ribosomal RNA
Rfam family: Bacterial small subunit ribosomal RNA
Source: RNAcentral